GACGAACGCUGGCGGCGUGCUUAACACAUGCAAGUCGAACGGCAAGGCCCUGCUUUUGUGGGGUGCUCGAGUGGCGAACGGGUGAGUAACACGUGAGUAACCUGCCCUUGACUUUGGGAUAACUUCAGGAAACUGGGGCUAAUACCGGAUAGGAGCUCCUGCUGCAUGGUGGGGGUUGGAAAGUUUCGGCGGUUGGGGAUGGACUCGCGGCUUAUCAGCUUGUUGGUGGGGUAGUGGCUUACCAAGGCUUUGACGGGUAGCCGGCCUGGGAGGGUGACCGGCCACAUUGGGACUGAGAGACGGCCCAGACGCCAACGGGGGGCAGCAGGGGGGAAUAUUGCACAAUGGGCGGAAGCCUGAUGCAGCAACGCCGCGUGCGUGAUGACGGCCUUCGGGUUGUAAACCGCUUUCGCCUGUGACGAAGCGUGAGUGACGGUAAUGGGUAAAGAAGCACCGGCUAACUACGUG
This 468-nucleotide ribosomal RNA is filed under the name uncultured bacterium. RNAcentral describes it as "partial 16S ribosomal RNA". It matches the Rfam family "Bacterial small subunit ribosomal RNA", at positions 28 to 507 of the family's 1533-position model. The record is from RNAcentral.